Molecule: ribosomal RNA, 426 nt
Filed under: uncultured Actinomycetes bacterium
Lineage: Bacteria; Bacillati; Actinomycetota; Actinomycetes
Description: bacterial SSU rRNA
Rfam family: Bacterial small subunit ribosomal RNA
Source: RNAcentral
GCGGCCUAUCAGCUUGUUGGUGAGGUAAUGGUUCACCAAGGCGACGACGGGUAGCCGGCCUGAGAGGGCGACCGGCCACACUGGGACUGAGACACGGCCCAGACUCCUACGGGAGGCAGCAGUGGGGAAUAUUGGGCAAUGGAGGAAACUCUGACCCAGCGACGCCGCGUGAGGGAUGAAGGCCUUCGGGCUGUAAACCUCUUUCAGUAGGGAAGAAGCGAAAGUGACGGUACCUACAGAAGAAGCACCGGCUAACUAUGUGCCAGCAGCCGCGGUAAUACAUAGGGUGCAAGCGUUGUCCGGAAUUAUUGGGCGUAAAGAGCUCGUAGGUGGUUCGAUACGUCGGAUGUGAAAAUCAGGGGCUCAACCCCUGACCUGCAUCCGAUACGGUCGAGCUAGAGUUUGGUAGGGGAGACUGGAAUUCCU